Erinaceus europaeus (western European hedgehog) is the source of this 268-nucleotide non-coding RNA. The record is from Rfam. NCBI's taxonomy places the organism in Eukaryota, Metazoa, Chordata, Mammalia, Eulipotyphla, Erinaceidae.
AGAUGUUAUGGAUAUCUCGCUGUGACAUCUUCUGUCACCCCAUUGAUGGCCAGAGUUGAUCUGGCUGACUAGAUGGGUAUCUCCUUCCUCCCUCACUGCUCCAUGUGUGUCCCUCUCAAAGCUGCACAGUUGGUUGAAGAGGAUGACCUUCCCCAAAUAGAGAUGAACUAGUUUGUGUUCCCCUGCUAGAACCUCCAAACAAGCUCUCUGAGGUGAUUCCAAACACUGACUCGUUUUAUGACACUGAAGGAAAUCUGUUCCUGUUACU